RNAcentral lists this ribosomal RNA (301 nucleotides) under uncultured bacterium. Its description in RNAcentral is "partial 16S ribosomal RNA". It matches the Rfam family "Bacterial small subunit ribosomal RNA", at positions 509 to 807 of the family's 1533-position model. The record is from RNAcentral.
CAGCAGCCGCGGGAAUACGGAGGGUGCAAGCGUUAUCCGGAUUCACUGGGUUUAAAGGGUGCGUAGGCGGGCAGGUAAGUCAGUGGUGAAAUCUUCGAGCUUAACUCGGAAACUGCCGUUGAUACUAUCUGUCUUGAAUAACGUUGAGGUGAGCGGAAUAUGUCAUGUAGCGGUGAAAUGCUUAGAUAUGACAUAGAACACCGAUUGCGAAGGCAGCUCACUAAACGCUCAUUGACGCUGAGGCACGAAAGCGUGGGGAUCAAACAGGAUUAGAUACCCCCGUAGUCCCUGUCUCUUAUAC